AGUCACUGACAUUAGAUACCCGGGUAGUCCAGGGUGUAAACGCUGCAGACUUGGUGUUGGAAGCCCUUUGGGGGCAUUCAGUGCCGGAGAGAAGUUGUUAAGUCUGCUACUUGGGAGUACGUCCGCAAGGAUGAAACUUAAAGGAAUUGGCGGGGGAGCACCGCAACGGGAGGAGCGUCGCGGUUUAAUUGGAUUCAACACCGUAAACUCACCAGGGAAGACUGUUACAUGAAGGCCGAGAUGAAGACUCUGCUAGAUUUUCAG
RNAcentral lists this ribosomal RNA (264 nucleotides) under uncultured archaeon. RNAcentral's name for it is "partial 16S ribosomal RNA". It matches the Rfam family "Archaeal small subunit ribosomal RNA", at positions 719 to 982 of the family's 1478-position model. The record is from RNAcentral.